GACGAACGCUGGCGGCGUGCCUAAUACUUGCAAGUAGAACGCUGAAGGAGGAGCUUGCUUCUCUGGAUGAGUUGCGAACGGGUGAGUAACGCGUAGGUAACCUGCCUGGUAGCGGGGGAUAACUAUUGGAAACGAUAGCUAAUACCGCAUAAUAGUAGAUGUUGCAUGACAUUUGCUUAAAAGGUGCAAUUGCAUCACUACCAGAUGGACCUGCGUUGUAUUAGCUAGUUGGUGAGGUAACGGCUCACCAAGGCAACGAUACAUAGCCGACCUGAGAGGGUGAUCGGCCACACUGGGACUGAGACACGGCCCAGACUCCUACGGGAGGCAGCAGUAGGGAAUCUUCGGCAAUGGACGGAAGUCUGACCGAGCAACGCCGCGUGAGUGAAGAAGGUUUUCGGAUCGUAAAGCUCUGUUGUAAGAGAAGAACGAGUGUGAGAGUGGAAAGUUCACACUGUGACGGUAUCUUACCAGAAAGGGACGGCUAACUACGUG
RNAcentral lists this ribosomal RNA (495 nucleotides) under uncultured bacterium. RNAcentral's name for it is "partial 16S ribosomal RNA". It matches the Rfam family "Bacterial small subunit ribosomal RNA", at positions 28 to 507 of the family's 1533-position model. The record is from RNAcentral.